Molecule: ribosomal RNA, 253 nt
Filed under: uncultured bacterium
Lineage: Bacteria
Description: partial 16S ribosomal RNA
Rfam family: Bacterial small subunit ribosomal RNA
Source: RNAcentral
UACGUAGGUGGCAAGCGUUGUCCGGAUUUACUGGGCGUAAAGAGCGCGCAGGCGGUCGUUCAAGUCGCGUGUGAAAGCCCCCGGCUCAACUGGGGAGGGUCACGCGAUACUGAUCGACUCGAAGGCAGGAGAGGGAAGUGGAAUUCCCGGUGUAGUGGUGAAAUGCGUAGAUAUCCGGAGGAACACCGGUGGCGAAGGCAGCUCGCUGGGACGUCACUGACGCUGAGACGCGAAAGCGUGGGGAGCAAACAGG